AGAUGAAAGCAUGCAUGGAAAUGAAAAAACCAAAACAUUAAUAUACAAGUAAAGAGGAAACCGUUGAACUUCCAAUGGACUUUAGUAACUCUGCUCUGUUGAAAUGGACAUCCGAAGACGUGUUCAUUCCUCCUGCUAUUUCUCUUCUGAAUCUUAAUAGAAACACCUUUCCUGUCAUUAUUGUCUUAUUGUAGCUUGCUUAUUAAAAUUCUGCAUAUUAAUAA
This is a long non-coding RNA of Limulus polyphemus (Atlantic horseshoe crab), 224 nucleotides long. RefSeq lists it as uncharacterized. The transcript has 2 exons. The record is from RefSeq and is a predicted model, not a curated record. Lineage: Eukaryota; Metazoa; Arthropoda; Merostomata; Xiphosura; Limulidae.